RNAcentral lists this long non-coding RNA (1036 nucleotides) under Apteryx haastii (Great spotted kiwi). RNAcentral's name for it is "lncRNA (ENSAHAG00000003886.1)". Lineage: Eukaryota; Metazoa; Chordata; Aves; Apterygiformes; Apterygidae. The record is from RNAcentral.
CGGCCCGGCAGUACUUUGAGGAGGACGCGGAGUAUUACGAGUAUCCCUACUACUACACAAAUAGCGAGGACGGGCCCGCGCCGGGGGGCAACCCGGAGCAGGUAACCGCGGGCAGGGCCAUGUCCGUCCGUCCGUCCGUCUGUCUGUCCGUCCUGGUUGUGUCGCAGCUCUUUCCCCGCCCCCCCCUCCAGCAGUAGGAGCAUGGAAAGCGCCGGGGAAGGGGGUGGAUAUGGUGGGAGGGGGACGGGGACACCCAUCCGCGUCGGAGGGUCCCGCGGGGACUCACGCCGGGCGCCUUGUGUGUUUUCUCUCUCCCUUCCCCCGKCCCCCCACCCCGGCCCGGGCGGGGGUGUCGCGUGGGUGCGGGUGUCGCUGCCGCCGCCGCCUCCUCUUCGCCGCCGUCCUCUUCCUCCUCCUCCGCGCCGCCGCGCUCGGAGCUAGAAACCCGCCGCGCCGGGCCCCGAGCCCCCCCCCAAGGCCAGCGCCCCCAAACAGCGGCAGACGAUGAACGCGGCGCCCGCCUACGGGAAGCAUCCCGGCAACGGGAAGUAUCCCGGCAACGGGAAGUACCCCGGCGACGGGAAGUAUCCCGGCAAUGGGAAUUCCCUCGGCAACAGCAAGACGAGCCCAGCCGUGAGGAAUGCCGUAGGCAAAGCCCAAGGCGGCCGGGCGGACGCCGGGGCCGGUGGGAAGCAAGGCAACAGCUACCAGCAGGUAGAGCAAGACGGAGGGAUCCCGCUCGGCGCGGAGCGCGGCACGAGCUGGGAUCCGGGAUGGGAGCGUGCUCCCUCCGCCUCCGCCUCCUCCCCACCCCRUCCGUCCGUCCRUCUGCUGUUCCCCCCCCUCUUCCCCGUCCCUCGACGGGGCCAUUCGCAAACGUCCCGGCGGUGCAAAUAAACCGGCAGGAGGGGAAGCGACGGAAAGACGGGAGCGGGGACCCUUUUCCGGCUGUUUGCCUCCUGCCUUUAUUUCUCUUGCCCCCCCCCCCCNNNNNNNNNNNNNNNNNNNNNNNNNNNNNNNNNNNNNNNNNNNNNNN